AAAGAGAGACCAGAUUCACCAGAAUCCAGCUGUGUGUCCAUGAAGAGUGACAAGUCAAUGGACAAACCAAUAGUCUUUGGAGAGAGAUCAGAUUCACCAGAAUCCAGCUGUGUGUCCAUGAAGAGUGACAAGUCAAUGGACAAACCAAUAGUCUUCGGAGAGAGAUCAGAUUCACCAGAAUCCAGCUGUGUGUCCAUGAAGAGUGA
This is a long non-coding RNA of Trichomycterus rosablanca, 206 nucleotides long. RefSeq lists it as uncharacterized. Lineage: Eukaryota; Metazoa; Chordata; Actinopteri; Siluriformes; Trichomycteridae. The record is from RefSeq and is a predicted model, not a curated record. The transcript is spliced from 3 exons.